Molecule: ribosomal RNA, 439 nt
Filed under: uncultured bacterium
Lineage: Bacteria
Description: partial 16S ribosomal RNA
Rfam family: Bacterial small subunit ribosomal RNA
Source: RNAcentral
CCUACGGGUGGCUGCAGUGGGGGAUAUUGCACAAUGGGGGAAACCCUGAUGCAGCGAUGCCGCGUGAAUGAAGACGGCCUUCGGGUUGUAAAGUUCUGUCGCAGGGGACGAAAAUGACGGUACCCUGCCAGACAGCUCCGGCUAACUACGUGCCAGCAGCCGCGGUACUACGUAGGGAGCAAGCGUUGUCCGGAAUUACGGGGUGUAAAGGGAGCGUAGGCGGGAGGAUAAGUUGAAGGUGAAAUCUAUGGGCCAAACCCAUAGCUGCGUUCAAUACUGUUCGUAUUGAGUGAAGUAGAGGCAGGCGGAAUUCGUGGUGUAGCGGUGAAAUGCGUAGAUAUUAGGAAGAACACCAGUGGCGAAGGCAGCCUGCUGGGCUUUUACUGACGCUGAGGCUCGAAAGCGUGGGUAGCAAACAGGAUUAGAUACCCCUGUAGUC